RNAcentral lists this ribosomal RNA (253 nucleotides) under uncultured bacterium. RNAcentral describes it as "partial 16S ribosomal RNA". It matches the Rfam family "Bacterial small subunit ribosomal RNA", at positions 524 to 776 of the family's 1533-position model. The record is from RNAcentral.
UACGUAGGGUGCGAGCGUUAAUCGGAAUUACUGGGCGUAAAGUGUGCGCAGGCGGCCAAGCAAGUCGAGUGUGAAAGCCCCGGGCUUAACUUGGGAAUUGCGCUCGAAACUACUUUGCUGGAGUGUGGCAGAGGAAGGUGGAAUUCCACGUGUAGCGGUGAAAUGCGUAGAGACGUGGAGGAACACCAAUGGCGAAGGCAGCCUUCUGGGCCAACACUGACGCUCAUGCACGAAAGCGUGGGGAGCAAACAGG